AUGCAAAUGCUAGUGGGGCGGACGGGUGCGCAGGGGGAAGGCAUGUUUUGCUGCCUGAAUUUUGGGAAGUCACACAGCAAAGAUGCAUCCGAGCCUGGCAUUGUCGCUCUGCCAAGGCACCCCUUGAUGGACGUGUUCCGAUCAGAGCUGUCUGCCCCACGGGAAAAGAAUCAGCUUUCUAUCAAGUGGACUCUGGGCAUCGCCCCAGAGAGCUGCAGCUCCAAAGGACCCGGAGAGACCCCCAGACGACCGAGAGGGGCUGACGUGGAGUGUCCCCCGCCUGGAUGGCAUCCCUGGAAAAGGCUGGAGUGUUUCUACAGAGGCUGUUCAGACAUCACAUCACAGUCCCAGACGGCCGAGAGGUUCUUGCACUCACUUGGCUGCCCUCCCUGGGAAAUGCUUUGGAUCAGACAGCACUUCUGGGUUGUUUUUGCCUGAGGAAAGUGGCUCACAGCAUCACCUUCACCCUUGCUCUGAGAAACCGUCAUGAAAUCAAUGCAGCUUUGGAAAGGAAGGAACGUGGCAAAUCCCUAAUCACACCUCACCUUUAAAUACGGUCUUUGACCAUAUUAGGACCAGAAUUUCAUAUAUGCUCCCUAAUUUAUUCUUUUCCUUCACAACUGAACACACAGGCGACUGGCUUGAAUCCAGGGCGCAUUUGAUCGAGGCUACAUAUUCCCCCACUUUCGGCACGCCUAAUGAUUUCCAUCUUUGUCUCAAUUGUGUUUACGAGACCUGCCCUUAUCGCCGGCAUCGGCGCUUCAUUUUUCCAUUUUCCACUCAUUCUUAUAAAAUAACAAGGUCAAAAUGCAAUACAAUAUUCAAAUACUUGUGCAAACACUGCUGAACAGCUAAAAGGGGAUGCUGCUGAGACCAAACUCUGGGCCACCAGGCAGCAUUUCCAUGCCAUGGCUUCAAAUGUCAGCUCACCUGCCAACCUGGGAGAGCUCAAAACCCACGGGUGGAGCCAGGGGUCGGGGUGGUGGUGGUGGCGUAGACCAACGUAGAGCGUGUAAAAAAGCGUGCGCCAAAGUGAACGGUACAAGGUGAAGGUCCCCCUCUGAAGCUCAGCGGAGUAUAAAUCCUGCCACCUCCAGCCAAGAGGCCCAGGCGCUACCAUGCAAAGGGGCUGUCGGUGACGGCUUUUCUCCAGGCGGGUUGUGUUGUCUCACAGACCUGCGCCAGUACACCUUCCAACGUCUCUGAGUCUGCAGGUGUGUGCGUGAAGGGAAGGGGGUUUAGGGACCACCAUCCUGUUUUCCUAAUCUGCACACUCAUCACAGAGGGAAGUCAAUUCUGGGUAACACUUUCCCAAACAACUCGGCUGCAGGCCGAUCUGCAGGCAGGGGGCCUGGGGGCUGUUAUCAUCUCCAGAGAUAGGGGGCUUACCGGCCAACAGAGUGGUGAAAGGACACUUAGUGUUGCUUGAAGACAUUCCUAAGAAGA
This 1446-nucleotide long non-coding RNA is filed under the name Felis catus (domestic cat). RNAcentral describes it as "lncRNA (ENSFCAG00000047776.1)". The record is from RNAcentral. Lineage: Eukaryota; Metazoa; Chordata; Mammalia; Carnivora; Felidae.